UACGUAGGGUGCGAGCGUUAAUCGGAAUUACUGGGCGUAAAGCGUGCGUAGGCGGUUGGCCAAGUCAGCUGUGAAAGCCCCGGGCUUAACCUGGGAAUGGCGGUUGAAAAUAGUCGACUCGAAUCUGGCAGAGGGGGGUGGAAUUCCACGUGUAGCAGUGAAAUGCGUAGAGAUGUGGAGGAACACCGAUGGCGAAGGCAGCCCCCUGGGCUGAGAUUGACGCUCAGGCACGAAAGCGUGGGGAGCAAACAGG
Molecule: ribosomal RNA, 253 nt
Filed under: uncultured bacterium
Lineage: Bacteria
Description: partial 16S ribosomal RNA
Rfam family: Bacterial small subunit ribosomal RNA
Source: RNAcentral